AGUGAACGCUGGCGGUAGGCCUAACACAUGCAAGUCGAACGGCAGCACAGUAAGAGCUUGCUCUUACGGGUGGCGAGUGGCGGACGGGGGAGGAAUACAUCGGAAUCUACUUUUUCGUGGGGGAUAACGUAGGGAAACUUACGCUAAUACCGCAUACGAAGUACGGGUGAAAGCAGGGGAUCUUCGGACCUUGCGCGAUUGAAUGAGCCGAUGUCGGAUUAGCUAGUUGGCGGGGUAAAGGCCCACCAAGGCGACGAUCCGUAGCUGGUCUGAGAGGAUGAUCAGCCACACUGGAACUGAGACACGGUCCAGACUCCUACGGGAGGCAGCAGUGGGGAAUAUUGGACAAUGGGCGCAAGCCUGAUCCAGCCAUACCGCGUGGGUGAAGAAGGCCUUCGGGUUGUAAAGCCCUUUUGUUGGGAAAGAAAAGCAGCAGGUUAAUACCCCGCUGUUCUGACGGUACCCAAAGAAUAAGCACCGGCUAACUUCGUG
RNAcentral lists this ribosomal RNA (492 nucleotides) under uncultured bacterium. RNAcentral's name for it is "partial 16S ribosomal RNA". It matches the Rfam family "Bacterial small subunit ribosomal RNA", at positions 29 to 507 of the family's 1533-position model. The record is from RNAcentral.